AUUUAUUACAGAUCGGAGGGAGCAUGACUAUCAAUGGAGGUUGCACCUUGGCCCCUUCUUACAUGUGUGCGGCCAGUCGCUACGAAGCCGUUGACAUGGUUAGGUUCUUCACGCUGAGCAGUGCAGAGUCAGAAGCCCAUCCGAAAGGAACCUAGUUAAGCGUGUUUGCCGGCACUGGACGCAUAUGGGCGUGUGGCAAGAAGGGACGAUCUGGCUUAGGCGUGUGACUGACGAGAACGUCAGGUCCUUUGAGGAGGAGGGUGUGUGACACACUGGUCUAUAACUUAAUAGGAUUGAUGAAUACUCAUAUCAACAACAUCAUAUCUCCACCAUGAGCUUGGCUUUGCUCUCCAUCUUCUCCACCGUGAGUUCUACACCCCCAACAGUGUCGCCUGCACGUCACUUCCUUCGUCUUUCAGCGAGCUCUUGGGUACCGACAUCGACCUCAACCACAACAACAUGGGCAGACGACCGAUAAAAUUAGGAGGGACUUUUCAGGAGCGGUUUUAUAGAACAGUAAAUUAGGAGGAACUUUUCAGGAGCGGUUUUAUAGAAUAGUGACCGUAAGUGGUCAAGUUGUUGCACGUGCAAUUCAAAGCUCAUGCGGUGUGAAUAGGACCUCACGUAGUUUACAUUUAGGAGUCAGUACUUAUUUUCAUAAUGUUAAUACUAGCUUAACAUCCCCACAAUUCCUUUUAGACUUUUGGUGCAUUCAACUCUUCAAAUAGAUCUUAACUGUGAUAAUCUAGGACAAAUGCCAAUUGCUUGGGCAGCACCUUCUACCAGCUUCUGUCUGCCUGCUAUGGACAGAAUUUUCCUCCCAGCCUUAAAUCUUCUUCCACAACUUCCAUUGGGUGCUAAAAAUACCUUCCAUCGUGGGCAAAUUACCGUCAACUUAAGAAAGAUCGUAUCACCACUCAGAAAUUGCAGAACACAGGUCUUCUUUUUUCUAUUUGUUACAAACGAUGUAUCUUUGUUGAUCAUCUUUGGUACCGCCAUACUUAUUUCUUAUCAUAGAGACGAAUACCACACACCACGUAGUGCAGUGCAAACUUUCAGCCAAUGAUAACAUACGAACAGAGACAAUCCAAGAACCUCAAGCAAUUCAUAGAAUUCAGCAUUUCACACUGCAC
This is a long non-coding RNA of Brachypodium distachyon (stiff brome), 1133 nucleotides long. RefSeq lists it as uncharacterized. The transcript is spliced from 2 exons. The record is from RefSeq and is a predicted model, not a curated record. Lineage: Eukaryota; Viridiplantae; Streptophyta; Magnoliopsida; Poales; Poaceae.